Molecule: ribosomal RNA, 484 nt
Filed under: uncultured bacterium
Lineage: Bacteria
Description: partial 16S ribosomal RNA
Rfam family: Bacterial small subunit ribosomal RNA
Source: RNAcentral
AUUGAACGCUGGCGGCAUGCCUUACACAUGCAAGUCGAACGGCAGCGCGGGCUUCGGCCUGGCGGCGAGUGGCGAACGGGUGAGUAAUACAUCGGAACGUGCCCAGAAGUGGGGGAAAGCGUGGCGAAAGCCGGAUUAAUACCGCAUACGACCUGUGGGCGAAAGUGGGGGGGCUUCGGACCUCGUGCCUUGGGAGCGGCCGAUGGGAGAUUCGCUAGUUGGUGGGGUAAAGGCCUACCAAGGCGACGAUCGUUAGCUGGUCUGAGAGGACGGCCAGCCACACGGGCUGUGAGGCACGUCCCACACUCCGGCAGGGGGCCGCGGCGCGGAAUUUUACACGAUGGGCCAGUGCCUAAUCCUGCACAGCCGCGUGUGUCAUGAAGGCCUUCUGGUUGUUGAGCACUUAUGGCGGGAGGGUUGAGGACUGUGCCAAUCCCACAGUUCGAUGACGGUACCCGCAGAAUAAGCACCGGCUAACUCCGUG